RNAcentral lists this long non-coding RNA (451 nucleotides) under Pan troglodytes (chimpanzee). RNAcentral's name for it is "long non-coding RNA NONPTRT003107". The record is from RNAcentral. Lineage: Eukaryota; Metazoa; Chordata; Mammalia; Primates; Hominidae.
CCUCACUCACUGGGGACACAGCAGUCACGGGCUCUGCCUUUAAGAGUGCAUACCCACUGCCAGCAGCAGCGACUCACACUGGGUGAAGUAGCUCCCAGAGCGGUCCCUGCAUGGUAUCAGCGAUGCUUCUUCACCCCAUUUCUGAGGCCGGGUGCGUUCCCGCCAGCCCCAGUCCUCAGGCAUUUCUCUGAGUCUCCGCCCCCCCCCCCCCCCCCCCGUCUGGGUCCCCAUGGCGGGCACUGCGGCAGCAGGUGGGCAGCCUCCCCGGGUUAGCAUGCAGGAGCACAUGGCCAUCGAUGUGAGCCCGGGCCCCAUCCGGCCCAUCCGCCUCAUCUCCCACUACUUCCCGCACUUUUACCCUUUUUUUACCCUUUUGCGGAGCCUGCCCUGCACCCUCCGGACCUGCGCCCCGCAGCGGCGUCCACCAUCCACUCUGCACCCUAGCUGCAGC